Molecule: ribosomal RNA, 253 nt
Filed under: uncultured bacterium
Lineage: Bacteria
Description: partial 16S ribosomal RNA
Rfam family: Bacterial small subunit ribosomal RNA
Source: RNAcentral
GACAGAGGUGCCGAGCGUUAGGCGGAAUCACUGGGCUUAAAGCGUGUGUAGGCGGGUCGGUAAGUGCCUUGUGAAAUCCCACAGCUCACCUGUGGAACUGCUUGGCAUACUGGCGAUCUUGAGCCACUUAGGGGCAACCGGAACAAACGGUGGAGCGGUGAAAUGCGUAGAUAUCGUUUGGAACGCCAAUGGUGAAAACAGCUCGCUGGGGGUUUGCAGACGCUGAGACACGAAAGCCAGGGGAGCGAACGGG